Molecule: ribosomal RNA, 465 nt
Filed under: uncultured bacterium
Lineage: Bacteria
Description: partial 16S ribosomal RNA
Rfam family: Bacterial small subunit ribosomal RNA
Source: RNAcentral
AGCGAACGCUGGCGGCAUGCCUAACACAUGCAAGUCGCACGGGUCGGCUUCGGUUGGUCAGUGGCGGACGGGUGAGGAACGCGUAGGGAUCUGUGCUUUGGCGGGGGAUAACCGCGGGAAAUUGCGGCUAAGACCGUAUGGGGCGCUGGUGCGAGAGGCGGUGUCAAAGGGGUGCACCGCGCGAUGUGUGUCGCCGGGGGGUGAGUCUGCGUACGAUUAGGUGGUUGGCGGGGUAGAGGAGGACCAAGGCGUCGAUCGGUAGCUGGGCUGUGAGGGUCAGCAGCCACACUUAGGCUGAGACGCAGCCCGGACUCCUGCGGGAUGCAGCAAUGCGUGAUAUUGGACAGUGGGGUCUGUCCUGAUCCAGCUAUGCCUCGUAAGUGAAGAAGGUCUGCAGAUAGGAAAGCCCUUUCGGCGGGGACGAUUGUGACGGUACCCACAGAAGAAGCCCCGGCUAACUUCGUG